AACCGUCCUUUUUUCCCCCAAAUCAUUUCAGAUUUCCCCCAAAUCAAUUUUCCUCCUCUCAAGUCCUCUCCCUCCUCUAACAGCUAUUCUCUUCUUCUCUUCAAGUUAUUCUCUUCUUCUCGUCCUCGAUAUGCCGCUAAUGUUCCCCUGCUUUAUCCCAAGCUCGCCGGCGGCGGCCAGUGGAGUCCGGGGAGAUUCGCCUCUUUCCUAGAUCCAGAUCUCGUUUGCAGCAACUGGAAUUUCGUUUGUUGUAAUCAAAGUAGGAAACACAAAUCCGAGGGUAAACAGCGUGGCGUCCGCUUAGAAAUAAAGCUAUACUAUACCCAUCGUAUAUAAACAAACUACCGGCCGCUCCCCCUUUUGAAUUCGACUACAUCGCUGCCUUUCUCUCUGAAGCUCACUCUGGUCUUGCGGAGUACAGAAGAAACAAGCAACUAGAAAUAAGCAAUCGAAUCAAUUCAUAUCAAAUGGUAAGUCUUACAAUCUCGUUACUCUCUGUUUGUACAUACUAGUUGUAGAAAUUAUACCGUCUAUCUUAGGCUUUCUUUACUGUGUUUGUUUCUUCCAUUAUUGUCAUAAUGUCUCAUUGUCAUGCCUAUGGGUUUUAUUAGGUUCUAGGGUUUUGAACUCAUUAUUUUGCAAUCUAUUGUUUGUGUGGGAAACAGUUCCUUUAUAUGCUGAAGAUAUAUGAUACCAGUGGAUAGCUAGGGUUUAUUUUAUAUGUCCUGUUCAAGCUCUAGAUAUUGUUUUCAAUGUACUUUUUUCU
This 766-nucleotide long non-coding RNA is filed under the name Panax ginseng (ginseng). Its description in RNAcentral is "long non-coding RNA (PGIN_LNC015690)". Lineage: Eukaryota; Viridiplantae; Streptophyta; Magnoliopsida; Apiales; Araliaceae. The record is from RNAcentral.